RNAcentral lists this ribosomal RNA (377 nucleotides) under uncultured bacterium. Its description in RNAcentral is "bacterial SSU rRNA". It matches the Rfam family "Bacterial small subunit ribosomal RNA", at positions 521 to 896 of the family's 1533-position model. The record is from RNAcentral.
UAAUACAGAGGUGCCGAGCGUUAGGCGGAAUCACUGGGCUUAAAGCGUGUGUAGGCGGGUCGUUAAGUACCUUGUGAAAUCCCACGGCUCAACCGUGGAACUGCUGGGUAUACUGGCGAUCUUGAGCAGUCUAGGGGCGAGCGGAACAAACGGUGGAGCGGUGAAAUGCGUAGAUAUCGUUUGGAACGCCGACGGUGAAAACAGCUCGCUGGGGACUUGCUGACGCUGAGACACGAAAGCCAGGGGAGCGAACGGGAUUAGAUACCCCGGUAGUCCUGGCCCUAAACGAUGUCCACUAGAUCAUGGCUCCUCUGACGGAGUCAUGGUCGAAGCAAAAGUGCUAAGUGGACCGCCUGGGAAGUACGGUCGCAAGGCUA